This is a long non-coding RNA of Orbicella faveolata, 471 nucleotides long. RefSeq lists it as uncharacterized. NCBI's taxonomy places the organism in Eukaryota, Metazoa, Cnidaria, Anthozoa, Scleractinia, Merulinidae. The record is from RefSeq and is a predicted model, not a curated record.
GAGAAUAUAUAAUGGUUAAGAACGAUAAUUUCAGUUUGCCUACGGACAUCUCGACGAUGCAGUCAGUUACACCGUGAGCGAUUUUCCAGGUAUAGAGUGUGUUCAAGUGACGUCAUCAAAUUCUCAAAUCCAAGACUAAAGAGCCCCUAAAAGUUUUAUCCUCGUCAGGGAUAAGAGGAUCAGUCCGUGCCGUUUAUUAGAGACCUUUAGCAUCGAGAGGGUCGGCGACCGGAAGUAAUUUUCAUUUCCGGCAUACUUGAGACCCGCGCAGACGUCAAAACGCUGCUUGUCGCGGUGCAUAGAAAACAAAUGAGCUUCUACGGGAAAGCCGCGGUAUUCGAAACUGAUCUCAAUGAUGGCUAAGUCGGAUUGUUAAGAGGAAACAGAUGAUCCCUAGGGCGAUGACUAUUACAACUACCGCCGCCGCUGCUGAAAUGGCAACAACAAGAUACCAUGGCUUGCUGCUGCUGG